UGCUGUGUUGUGUUAGUUUGUGUUGUGUUGUGUUAGUUUGUGUUGUGUUGUGUUAGUUUGUGUUGUGUUAGUUUGUGUUGUGUUAGUUUGUUUUGUGCUGUGUUAGUUUGUGCUGUGUUAGUUUGUGUUGUGCUGUGUUAGUUUGUGUUGUGUUAGUUUGUGUUGUGUUAGUUUGUGCUGUGUUAGUUUGUGUUGUGUUAGUUUGUGCUGUGUUAGUUUGUGUUGUGUUGUGUUAGUUUGUGUUGUGUUAGUUUGAGUUGUGUUAGUUUGUGCUGUGUUAGUUUGUGUUGUGUUGUGUUGUGUUAGUUUGUGUUGUGUUGUGUUAGUUUGUGUUGUGUUAGUUUGUGUUGUGUUAGUUUGUGUUGUGUUAGUUUGUUUUGUGUUGUGUUAGUUUGUGUUGUGUUGUGUUAGUUUGUGUUGUGUUGUGUUAGUUUGUGUUGUGUUAGUUUGUGUUGUGUUGUGUUAGUUUGUGUUGUGUUAGUUUGUGCUGUGUUAGUUUGUGCUGUGUUAGUUUGUGCUGUGUUAGUUUGUGUUGUGUUGUGUUAGUUUGUGUUGUGUUAGUUUGUGUUGUGUUAGUUUGUGUUGUGUUAGUUUGUGCUGUGUUAGUUUGUGUUGUGUUGUGUUAGUUUGUGCUGUGUUAGUUUGUGUUGUGUUAGUUUGUGUUGUGUUAGUUUGUGCUGUGUUAGUUUGUGCUGUGUUAGUUUGUGUUGUGUUAGGUUG
Molecule: long non-coding RNA, 720 nt
Filed under: Salmo salar (Atlantic salmon)
Lineage: Eukaryota; Metazoa; Chordata; Actinopteri; Salmoniformes; Salmonidae
Description: lncRNA (ENSSSAG00000091071.1)
Source: RNAcentral